Molecule: ribosomal RNA, 468 nt
Filed under: uncultured bacterium
Lineage: Bacteria
Description: partial 16S ribosomal RNA
Rfam family: Bacterial small subunit ribosomal RNA
Source: RNAcentral
GACGAACGCUGGCGGCGUGCUUAACACAUGCAAGUCGAACGGAAAGGCCCUGCUUUUGUGGGGUGCUCGAGUGGCGAACGGGUGAGUAACACGUGAGUAACCUGCCCUUGACUUUGGGAUAACUUCAGGAAACUGGGGCUAAUACCGGAUAGGAGCUCCUGCUGCAUGGUGGGGGUUGGAAAGUUUCGGCGGUUGGGGAUGGACUCGCGGCUUAUCAGCUUGUUGGUGGGGUAGUGGCUUACCAAGGCUUUGACGGGUAGCCGGCCUGAGAGGGUGACCGGCGACACGGGGACUGCGAUACGGCCCAGAGUCGUACGGGAGGCAGCAGUGGGGAAUAUUGAACAAUGGGCGGAAGCCUGAUGCAGCAACGCCGCGUGAGGGAUGACGGCCUUCGGGUUGUAACCCGCUUUCGCCUGGGACGAAGCGCGCGUGACGGUAAUGGGUAAAGAAGCACCGGCUAACUACGUG